AUACUUUAAGUUUUAGGGUCUGAGGUACCGGGUUCAUCUCACUAGGGAGUGCCAGAAAGGAGCUUUUUUCUUACAGAGAAAUUCCAAAAUAUAUGCUACUGGAAAUGGAGGGCAAACUGCCCAACUCACAGGAUAUUAGAAGGGGUAUACUUGAAUUAUGUGGUUAAGGAUUUAUGGUUGAAAGUAACAGUAGCCCAAAGUUGAGUUUCCCUGAGUGUAGGUAGAUUCUUCCUCAAGGAAGAACUUGAAGGGCAAGACCAGUUAUAGGAGGCUCUGGUUUCCCUGGAGUGUAGUUAACUCCUUUCAAUUCUCCUAACCAUUAAGACUGAAUGUUAAUGUCUGCUAGCAUCUGCAGUAUGAACUAAAUUGUCACAAAACUACCACAUGCUAUGAUUCUUUACUUACUCAAACUCUGCUAUAGCCUAAGGUCUCUCUUCAUGCAGGGGCUUCCAUUGAGAACAGUGUGGAUUUAGUAAUACAUUUAAUUGGAAUGUUUAAUAAGAAGUUAGAGCCUUUUUUUAAUCUUGGAAAAGGCAUCAAUCUUGAGAACACCAGAUGUGAAUAUCAUUUUAACAAGAGAAUUUUCACUUUGCUUGUAUCUUCCAAAGCAUGGAGAUUCUCCUUUGAAGAUAUUCAUUCUAUAGAAUAUUGUCAGCAAUAUAAAGGUAGAAGAAUAGUUGAGUUUGACUACAGAUAAGCCAGGUUAAAAAUACAGAAAGCACUUGAUGAAAAUCAUGAGUUGUUAGGAUUCAAAUUAUAGAGCUCCAAUAAGGACCCCUGAACACUGAUUUUUCAGGCACAUUACCAAAGGUACUAUACUGAGGUGGUAUAUGAUGUCACUUGGUGGGCUUCACUCAAGUGUUCAUUUGAAGUUUGAUUCCUUACUCACCUACCAUAACUGAUUGAUAGAAACAUAGAUCUCCAAUUGACUUUAGUUUCUGCUCCACAGAUCUGUUAUGAAUCUCACUGAGAAUCUAAGAUACAGUUGUAAAGUAUAGUUGAAGAGUUUUGGUUUCUAUGUAUAGUCCAACUAAGCACCUCAGAGCACUGAUUGCCAAUUGCAAUCCUCUAAGUUGUGUUGAGAAAAGAAAAAUAAGUUAUUUCACCUUCAGUUUCCAUGAAAUAGGAUGAAGUUACUAUAAUCAGGCAAAUGUCAGUGUAACUCCUUUUACCUAAUGGUUUUGGUUAAAUUAAUUAUCUAUCUAAUAUAUGUGUCACCUUCCUUCAGAGCAAAUAUUCAUAGGAUUUGACCAUCUGAGGCACAAUUAGUCUUUUUUUGAGGAUGCAGGUGGGAAGCACACCUGUAAUUAGUCCUUGCAGGGCAUUUGUCUAUACCUGAAAUUAUUUGCAGGUGUUAAGCAUGUGCUUAUGAAGAAGGGAACUAGGUAUCUGAGGUCCAGAAAAAAAAUUGCCUCUUAAUUUUAAUAUUAUUUUCUCUCUUCCUUAUGUCUUGAUUUCUUGGAAAGCAAAUGCAUCUAGUUUUAACUUAAUGUCCUGAAUGACUGACUGCAAACAGGAGGUAGAAAUGGAGCUUUGGCUCUUUUAUGUGGUUCAUGUAAGUAUUCUCUCUAGCUCUGAGGAUCUACUUAUAUUUGACCCUUUUAGGAAAAAUGCUGUAAGGUUUUCCAGUUUUGAGGAUAAAAUUGCUCAUUAAAAUCUGUGAUGUGUAGCACUUUAAUGAAUGUUAGCCACAUUUUAAGGCUAUUGUUAUAUAGCUCUUAGUGUUCCCAGGAUUCCUAAUAAAGAGCAAAAUUAUCUAAACUAUUUAAUGAUUACUAGUGGGUAUUGGCCCUUUUCUGUCCUCUCUUCAUUGUGUCAAUAAAAUAGAGUUGUGCAGAGCUGCUCUAAUCAGCUUAGAGUGCUAAUUCAUUGCGCCGGGAUGCUAUCUGUGUUUGGCUACAGAUAACUGAGUUGGAGGCAAUUUUAGCAUUAGCUAUCUCUUAUAAACAGCCAAAUCCUUUGGCCAUGCUUAGGCUUAUGUAGCAUGAAUUAUUCAAUGAGAAGGAAAAAAGCAGUGUUUUAGCAACUUGUUUUGGUGAUUUUUAUUUUUAUGAAAAUAAAUUGUAGCCUCGUGGGAUAAAUCAACAAUGUAACUUCCCUUUUGGGGAGAGGCUCUAAGUCACAUCAGCAUAGUUUUGGUCCAGACAGCAAAGCUCUAACCCUCAUUCAGCUCAAAUGGGCCACCAAAGAGAGCAGAGAGAGAUAAGAUUGUGUACUUGAGAGGGACAUUUUUAAUCAAGAAAUUGUCAUCUCUUCUUAGGUCAUCUAUUUCCCUAAUUCUUUUCUGCGUUGAAUAGCUUCGUUGCAAGAAAAAUGUUGGUGAAAUGAUUUGGUCCUGAGUCCUAUUGCAGAAUGCUCUGAGUAUGGGCUCAAAUGCCUAUUGGACAAAAUGAAGUUGGUUUGUCUUUACUGUUUAUUAUGAUUGUCACUUCUAAGCUUUACUAUGAUGUUUAUGAUUAUUUCACUCCCUGAAUGAAUAGGAUAUGAAAUUAGACAUUAAAAAUUUUAGUGGUGGAAUAAAAUUGUUGGUUUGGUUUUUCUGCUACCACUAACUCUUAAGGCCAUACUUUUCCCCCCAACAAGUUUCAGAAAAAAAAUAUUGCAAGGAAUAUUUAUGUGCUUUGAGUUUUUACGUUAGACAACUCCACAGUUAAACUACCACAUCAGAGUCAAGAAGAUAAUUUCAUAGUAAAGUUAGCUAAUUACUGAGAUAGCUCCUUUAAUAUGUGACUCCCACUUGUAGAUACCUAGCCCACAUAUGUCUUUUCUGGUGUGAGAGAUUGUUUUUAUAAAAUUGUUAAAAAUGACCGGUUUUAAGAAAUUAUUAACUUCCAUUAAUAUAUUUCUUUAAAUCUAACUCAGUGAUCUUCUAUUAGAACUCAAUUAUUUUCUGCCUUACAGGAAAAUCUACUUGUUUUAAAUAUUAGUAACUACGGCUAUGUAAAAUGAAAUGUAAAAGAAACAAAACGUAUCAGAUUUGAAUGAUUCUCCUUUCCCUGUUUUAGCUAAAAAAUAAAAAUAAAAACAUCACUUUUACUUAGUUCUGUAGUUGGCCUCCACAAAACAAUUUCUAGAAUAAAUGCUUAUCCUUCCUAAAUAAGAGGUCAUUGUUGCAGUUUUCCGUGAAUCAAAGAUGAAUAGGGUCCAUCUAUUAUCAAUUCCUCAAUCAGAGAAAAAAGGAAAUUAAGUUCCUAAUUAGGUGAAUUUGGACUAAAGAGGUGGGGCAUUGAAGGGAUAAGGAAAAUUGAGAGGUAGUUGAUGCCAUUUCAGACUAAUGAUAGGAGAGGAAAUGAAGAUGGGGGUGGUAGGAGUUGAGCUUGAAAGGUCAGUGACCUUAUUAGGACAAGAGUAGUGGUAGAUCUUCAAAAGCUUUUACCUGCAAUAGGCUGACAAGGCGUCAGGUUCUGGGGAUGGUCAAAGAUUCAAACACUUGAGAAAGAGUGUGGUAAAAAUAAGAUUACAUAUUUUAAUAAGGGAUACAUUUGAAUAUUAUUAACAAAAGAAAAAUGACCGUUAUCAGCUUUGUAAUUAUAAUUUUUGCUGAAUCAUUUUUCUAUGUACUUUAAAACAUUCAUUUUAGGUAUUAACUGGGUUUACUUUAAUGUGGAAUAGAUAAUGCUUCUUUUGAGGGUUAGACUUCACUGUUAGCAUAAUGAAUAGUUCUCUUAUAUUAAUACCUACUAGAAAGAUACAUAAAUACAUUACUGUGUAGAUUUAUCACCUUAGAUACAAAAUUGCAAUUAUUGACUAAAAUAUCUAUCAUAUAGAUAUGCAAUACUUUUUUAUGUAGACAAAACUUUGAUUUUUCCUUAAUAAUUAAAUUAUCCAGGUAUUCAUUGACAAAAAUAUGUUAAGAUUUGAUCUUUAGCCACAGUCCUUCAGAAGUUCUUCAGCAAAGGGAUUGUCAGAAUAAAGUGGGUACAUCUAUAUUAAGAAACAAAAGAUAAUUUAUAUAAAAAAAUCUUUUCAUUAAUGUGUUUUUCUAAAUUUUUAAAAUAUAAACAUUGUAAAGAAUAUAAUGAAUGAAUAAUUCUGGUGUUCAGGAAUGUAAAUCGGAUUAGUUAGAUGAGAAAAUUAUGAGAUUUGGGGCAAUUUUUAAGCUCUUUAGGUUAUAUGUGGGUUACUAGUACUAUAAUUUUAUGAAACAACACUUUUUAACAUUUAGUGUUCUUUAUUGAGUAGCAUGGGUGCUUCAGAGAUGGCUUUGACCUGGAUAUUUUUAUCCAGAAAACAAGAGAUUUUUGUUUUAUUAUGAAAGACCCCCAGUAAAUAAAAUAUUUCAGAGUCUUUCCACUUUAAUUCUCUCUGUGGUAAAUACACAGCCAUAGACCUGUUAUUACUUUACCAUCCGAUAGAGAUAUAACAUGAGUCACAUAAGUAAUUGAAAAUGUUGUAACAGCUGCAUUUAUAAAAAGUAAAAAAAAGGUAUAAUUUAAAUAAUAUAUCUAACCAGAGGAUCCAAAAUAUUGUAAUUUCUAAAUGCAAAAACUAAAUGACUGAAAUACUGUACCUAUUUUGUACUAAAAUCUUUGAAAUCUGGUAUGUAUUUCACACUUAUAACACCUCAUAAUUUGGACUAGCCACAUUUCAAGCACUUAGUAGCUGCAUGUGGCUACUGGCUAUUGUAUUCUACAUAGCCUUGGAAAAUCUCGAAGACUCAAUCUUUUACAGUGUGAUUCAGCUCAAUGUUAGUUAUGACAGAGAAGGAAGCACUGAAAGCCACUGUGGAGCCAUCUGGCCCAGCCUACUCAUUUUAUAAAUGAGGACACUGAAGGUCAAGAAGGGUCAGUUACUUGCUCAAGGUCACCCAACUACUUUGGGGGUAGAGCUUAGACCAGGUUCCAAGUCUCUUCCUGAAUUUUAAUUUAUUUUUAGUUCUGUUAAAAUAUGCUGCUUUUGUUGGCUGCUUAUGUAAAGGUGUUGACAUGUGAAGUGUAAGAGAAUAACAAGCACAAAACCAACUAACAACCAAAUAAACAAAAUAGGGAAUUGUUCAGAUAGUCUUGAAACUUUGAAUGUUGAAGGAAUACCACUCAGAGGCCUGUCAUCCACACAGAAUUUCUAAUAGAAAUUUUCUUUUUCAAAGUGAACUCAUCUACAUUUGAAUCAGAAGAAGGGAAGGUUCUGCCAAUUUUCCAUGGCUGUGCUAACCAACCAUGGAACUAUAUAUGGAACUAUAUGCUGAGAGCAGCAUAUAGAAGUCCCUAUUUCCCCACUCUUACACACCAGCAUGGUGUGUAACUAAGUAGUGUCUUGGAGUAUUUUAAAUUUUUUUUUAUAGUAAGAGUGAGGUUAAGCAUUUCUUUUCAUGUAGUUAAGGAUCAUGUGUAAUUUUUUUUUAUUCUUUAAAUUGUCAUUGAAGUGCAUUUUUUCCCCCUGUGGCUUGCUGACAUAAAAUGACUUACCCAUGGUCACAUAUCUAGUUAGCUACCGAGGCAGGACUAGAAUUCAGCUAUCGUGGUUAUUAAUUUGGUAAUUUAAUAUUUCUUACUGUAGUACAUUAAGAAUAAUACGUUAUCAUUUGAAUCCUCCCAACCUUGGGUUAUUGUUAGGAUCAUAUGAAAUAAGUUAGAAUGUGAAACAACAUUUUCAAAAUUAAAAAGAGACCUGCAGAAUGUAUGAUGAUGGUUCAUUUAAUUUUACAAAGAAAUCACAAGAUUUACCACUUUGAAAAUAUGCAGUUCAUAAUGAAAACAGAAUAAAUAGUUUGACCUGGCUGCAGUCUGAGAGAGGAAAAUACUAAUAUUUAUAAUAUUUAUCAAAAUGCAAUGAGAUUUUAUAUUAUUUCCAACAAUUUUAAGAACUCGCCAAUUUUAUGUCUUCAGGUUAGAAAAAUAAGUUAUUUUGUAUUAGAAAAGCAAUACUUUGAGUCUCCUUUGGUAAGUUUAAAGCAAAAGUUUGUUGGCAUUUUGAAUGUCAACAAUGUUUAAUAAUUUCAAGGAUGGUACUGCAAAAUGUUUGACUAAUUUAAGUAUGUUCCAACCAUAAGCAUUUUAUCUCCUUAACAUGUCAGGUUGGUCCCUUAAAAAGAUUUAUUGAAAUUAAUAUGUUCUGUAGAGUUGAGCGCCAGUGUAUAUUUUUACAUAUGGAGAAGUAAAUUUAAAAUUGUACAGUACAUAAAAGGUUUUGAAAACAGUUAUAAAGACUUAUUUAGGCAGUGAUUUAAAUUUAAAUUAACAGCAACACUGACAAUUUUCUAUUUGUUUAGCUAUUAACGAAGCUAUUUAACAAAAUGUUUUGUAGACUCCAGUUCUUAGACUUUUUUUCUUUUUUAAAAAAAUACAACAUUCCUUUUUGAUUCUGGCGAGUCAGGAGGAAUUCCUACUCUGAAGACAGAGCCAGAGUACAGAGUUAAUGUGCAGCAGUGGCCUUCUUCCUUGGACCCUAAGAUGCUGGAGCCACUCACUGCACUUUUCAAGCAGCUGCCAACAUUGUCAGCACUGAUCUGUCAGUAAGGAUUUCUCCUGGCAAAACUCUGAAGCUACUUUCUGACAUCUUCAACAAACUAAUUGUUGUCUCCUGCCUCUGCGAGCCCUCUGAAGUCCCAACGAGUUAGUGUCUUCUCAAGAGAUGAGAAAAAGGACUCACAAAAUCAACUUAUCAGGCUAUUACGCAUUGUCAUCAGCCAAAACAAAAACCUGCUAAAGACAGGAGAAAAAGUAGAAGAAAUGGGUCUCUGAGAAAAGGUUACAGAACAUCCAUCUUCUCUCCUCUUCUGAUUGUUUCCUUUCUUUGCCCAUUUUCAUACCCGUUUCCCUCUGUUAAAAGACACUUUAUGACAAGCAUUGUAAUCUCUUUAGAACGGAGGGGAACCUCUUCUUUAGGACACAAUCUUUGCAAGUUGUGAGUGACAGUGGGAAAGGGUCCAAUUGCCACUGAGGACACCAGGCAAUAAAUCAUCCUCCCCUGGCAUCAGCUGGCUGGACGAAUCCCCACUUCCUGAGUAAGUACCAGGGCCUAGAUGUGACAAAACAGCUAUUGUCAGCUCCUAGUGGCCACAUUCCCACUUUCUCUCUACUGAGAUUUUCCGUUUACUCGAGACUUUUAGUAGUGCAAACCAUAUUGGGAAGAAAUAUUCAAAUAACUACCAUUAGAAAGUGAAAUAUCUGAGAGUUGGAUAAUUAUAAUAUUCAUCUAAGAGCAACAAUUAUUAGAGGAAACCUUCUGUUUUCAUUUUACAUAUCAUCAAGCAGUUGCUUUAUCACCAUUAAAAGUGGCAUGUCUUUUCAUUUUUUAAAUGUUUGAUAUAUAGAGUAGUUCUCAAAAUGACUUUAUAAGAGCAAUGUGCAAAAGAUCAGGUAAAAAUUUUAUAAAUAAUAUGAAAAGAUAGAUUGCUGUAGUGAUAAUUUUAUAAUUUGGUAGAGUUAGGGCAUUUUCAAAUAGACACUUUUCUUUGCAGUGAUUAAGUUUAGAUAUACUAUUAUUAUUAAUAUGCUUGUAAAAUACUGUAAGGGGUAAGCUGAGUUCCAGUUAUUUCAUGUGUAGUUAAAAACCAUUCAAAAAUCCCA
RNAcentral lists this long non-coding RNA (7508 nucleotides) under Homo sapiens (human). Its description in RNAcentral is "HSALNT0316065". The record is from RNAcentral. Lineage: Eukaryota; Metazoa; Chordata; Mammalia; Primates; Hominidae.